AACUUGAUUCUUUUGAAAGGAGGUCUAGCUGAUAAUUAGAUGUUAGAAGGUUAGAAUCCUUCCAAGUUU
Molecule: transfer RNA, 69 nt
Filed under: Freyastera benthophila
Lineage: Eukaryota; Metazoa; Echinodermata; Asteroidea; Brisingida; Brisingidae
Description: tRNA-Ile
Rfam family: tRNA
About the family: Transfer RNA (tRNA) molecules are approximately 80 nucleotides in length.
Source: RNAcentral